This 1122-nucleotide ribosomal RNA is filed under the name Bacillus piscis. RNAcentral's name for it is "bacterial SSU rRNA". It matches the Rfam family "Bacterial small subunit ribosomal RNA", at positions 34 to 1143 of the family's 1533-position model. Lineage: Bacteria; Bacillati; Bacillota; Bacilli; Caryophanales; Bacillaceae. The record is from RNAcentral.
UGCAGUGGGCGGCUGCUAUACAUGCAGUCGAGCGGACCGACGGGAGCUUGCUCCCUUAGGUCAGCGGCGGACGGGUGAGUAACACGUGGGUAACCUGCCUGUAAGACUGGGAUAACUCCGGGAAACCGGGGCUAAUACCGGAUGCUUGAUUGAACCGCAUGGUUCAAUCAUAAAAGGUGGCUUUUAGCUACCACUUACAGAUGGACCCGCGGCGCAUUAGCUAGUUGGUGAGGUAACGGCUCACCAAGGCGACGAUGCGUAGCCCACCUGAGAGGGUGAUCGGCCACACUGGGACUGAGACACGGCCCAGACUCCUACGGGAGGCAGCAGUAGGGAAUCUUCCGCAAUGGACGAAAGUCUGACGGAGCAACGCCGCGUGAGUGAUGAAGGUUUUCGGAUCGUAAAACUCUGUUGUUAGGGAAGAACAAGUACCGUUCGAAUAGGGCGGCACCUUGACGGUACCUAACCAGAAAGCCACGGCUAACUACGUGCCAGCAGCCGCGGUAAUACGUAGGUGGCAAGCGUUGUCCGGAAUUAUUGGGCGUAAAGCGCGCGCAGGCGGUUUCUUAAGUCUGAUGUGAAAGCCCCCGGCUCAACCGGGGAGGGUCAUUGGAAACUGGGGAACUUGAGUGCAGAAGAGGAGAGUGGAAUUCCACGUGUAGCGGUGAAAUGCGUAGAGAUGUGGAGGAACACCAGUGGCGAAGGCGACUCUCUGGUCUGUAACUGACGCUAAGGCGCGAAAGCGUGGGGAGCGAACAGGAUUAGAUACCCUGGUAGUCCACGCCGUAAACGAUGAGUGCUAAGUGUUAGAAGGUUUCCGCCCUUUAGUGCUGCAGCAAACGCAUUAAGCACUCCGCCUGGGGAGUACGGUCGCAAGACUGAAACUCAAAGGAAUUGACGGGGGCCCGCACAAGCGGUGGAGCAUGUGGUUUAAUUCGAAGCAACGCGAAGAACCUUACCAGGUCUUGACAUCCUCUGACAACCCUAGAGAUAGGGCUUCCCCUUCGGGGGCAGAGUGACAGGUGGUGCAGGGUUGUCGUCAGCUCCUGUCGUGAGAUGUUGGGUUAAUUCCCCCACGAGGGCAACCCUGAUCUUAGUUGCAGCAUUCAUUUGGGACUCUAA